CUUGUAGCUGCAAAAGAAAUGGAAAGAUGUUUAUUUGGAUUUUUUGUAUAAAAGUUCCAUUAUGUUUACCGCAGAAAGUCGGUUAUGAGGAAUACAAAGACCAAUUGCACCAGAUUGUUUUGCCAUCCAUUCACCUGAGUCUCCGUGAUAUUACGCCAGGGACCCAAUAGAUAUUCGGUGACAUACGGCUCUGAGGGUCGGAUCUCGCGCACACAUCCGAAGAUGCAUAGCAGGCAGGAAAUUUUCAGCCACUCUUUCAUUGUGAUAAUUGUGUAACGGUGGCGCGCAACGUAAAGUAACGUAAUGGAUAGCGUAUGCCGUUCGGUUGGGGCUGGCUUUCCGCAUUCGUGGAAUGAAUCCGCUGUUGGGCUGUUCUGUUUGGUUAAGCGCUUUUUAAUAACACGGCCACAAUUGUUGUAUCAGGCCAUGGACGCCCGUACUCAAUCUAAUCUUUGCACUCUCUCUGGAUGGCCAUUAUCAGUCUAAAACACCCUAUUUAUAUAUUUAUAUUUACACAGAAAUCUCUGUUCAAACGAUUGUUAGAUAAUUAAAAGAUUUAUACUGCGACGGCCGAACCAAAUGCAGAACCAAAACGUUGCGCCCGACGACAGCCGGCGAUAUGCUCACGUUUACUUUUUGAAUGUCAAAUAAACAUCUACACGCGAGCAGCACAUCGCUUAUAUGUAUGUCUGUAUGUAUAUCUGUCCUCUGUCCGAUCGAAGCGACCCACCUGUAGCGUUCAGGCUAUCAAUUUUCAGACACCCUACACGUGGUUUUGCUGUUGAUUGUAAUUUAAGAUCGAAUCGAAGGAACUUUCUAGCUCUCACAGCUUUCGUUAUCGAUUUAUCACAAAACACAACACUUAAUUUAAAUACAAAUUUACCUUCCAAAGCCACAGAUGAAUGAACAAAUACAAAACAAUUAAAGUCAAUUGACUUUUGUGAGGCCGUAAAUAAAUUUCGAUUUCAUGCUUUCGGUGGGGCUGUUACAUCACAGCAACGCAACAGAGCGACCGCAGCAUCUGUACAGUGACUCAAUAACAGCGCCGUGCAGCUGUUCCCACCUGAAUGGCAACUGCGUCGGUGAAACCAAUAACAACAAGAACCAGAAUCGAAAGCUACCGUUGAAGCCGAAGCUUUUGAUACCCUUGCAGAGCCAUGGUUAUACUUCGAUUUUUUUAUUUCAUUUUGGAAAGGCUAUCGAAAGCUCAUUAAGCCAAAGACUUGCCUUAUGAACUGUCGUUCCUGUGCGGCUGCAGCUUUAUAAUAUAGUGAUUCUAUACCGAUCUGCGUUUCAAAUCUCUGCUCAAAAUCAUUAUACCCUCUCUGUCAAGAAUAAAAACAGAUGUUUAUAUAUUGUAAAAAAUACACGUUUAUUUAGCGCGCUCACUUUAAAAUUAGUAAUGUGUUUCAAUGUUGUACAGGGGGUAGUAUUCGGUAUUCUAUGUAUAACAAACAAAUUAAAUAGGAGAAACUUUUAGCUAUUUACACAAAACACACGGAGGAUUUCCCAGGAAAAAAACUGACGCCUACGUUUUCCACACAUACGUACACACACACACGAGUAUAUGACGGACAGCUGCCUUUGGACAAACUGAUUCC
Molecule: long non-coding RNA, 1601 nt
Organism: Drosophila pseudoobscura
Lineage: Eukaryota; Metazoa; Arthropoda; Insecta; Diptera; Drosophilidae
Exons: 2
Source: RefSeq, a predicted model, not a curated record